AGAGUUUGAUCCUGGCUCAGGAUGAACGCUAGCGGCAGGCUUAACACAUGCAAGUCGAGGGGCAGCACGGGUAGCAAUACUUUUGGUGGCGACCGGCGCACGGGUGAGUAACACGUAUGCAACCUGCCUGUAAGCGGGGAAUAACCCGGAGAAAUCCGGACUAAUACCGCAUNNNNNNNNNNNNNNNNNNNNNNNAGUGAUUAAACAUUUAUGGCUUACAGAUGGACAUGCGUAUGAUUAGAUAGUUGGUGAGGUAACGGCUCACCAAGUCAACGAUCAUUAGGGGUUCUGAGAGGAAGGUCCCCCACACUGGUACUGAGACACGGACCAGACUCCUACGGGAGGCAGCAGUGAGGAAUAUUGGUCAAUGGGCGAGAGCCUGAACCAGCCAAGUCGCGUGAAGGAAGAAGGUUCUAUGGAUUGUAAACUUCUUUUGCAGGGGAAUAAAGUGAGCUACGUGUAGCUUAUUGUAUGUACCUUGCGAAUAAGGAUCGGCUAACUCCGUGCCAGCAGCCGCGGUAAUACGGAGGAUCCGAGCGUUAUCCGGAUUUAUUGGGUUUAAAGGGUGCGUAGGCGGGAAAUUAAGUCAGUGGUGAAAGUUUGCAGCUCAACUGUAAAAUUGCCAUUGAAACUGAUUUUCUUGAGUGUAAAUAAGGUAGGCGGAAUGUGUUGUGUAGCGGUGAAAUGCAUAGAUAUAACACAGAACACCAAUUGCGAAGGCAGCUUACUAAACUGAUACUGACGCUGAUGCACGAAAGCGUGGGGAGCGAACAGGAUUAGAUACCCUGGUAGUCCACGCCGUAAACGAUGAUCACUCGCUGUUUGCGAUAUACAGCAAGCGGCUGAGCGAAAGCAUUAAGUGAGCCACCUGGGAGUACGUUCGCAAGAAUGAAACUCAAAGGAAUUGACGGGGGCCCGCACAAGCGGAGGAACAUGUGGUUUAAUUCGAUGAUACGCGAGGAACCUUACCCGGGCUCGAACGGUGCAUGAAUGAUUCAGAGAUGGAUUAGUCCUUCGGGGCUGCUUACAAGGUGCUGCAUGGUUGUCGUCAGCUCGUGCCGUGAGGUGUCGGCUUAAGUGCCAUAACGAGCGCAACCCUUGUCGUUAGUUGCCAUCAAGUAAUUGGGGACUCUAGCGAGACUGCCACCGUAAGGUGUGAGGAAGGGGGGGAUGACGUCAAAUCAGCACGGCCCUUACGUCCGGGGCGACACACGUGUUACAAUGGUAGGUACAGAGGGCAGCUACCCAGCGAUGGGAUGCGAAUCUCUAAAACCUAUCUCAGUUCGGAUCGGAGUCUGCAACUCGACUCCGUGAAGUUGGAUUCGCUAGUAAUCGCAUAUCAGCCAUGACGCGGUGAAUACGUUCCCGGGCCUUGUACACACCGCCCGUCAAGCCAUGGAAGCUGGGGGUACCUGAAGUCGGUGACCGUAAUAGGAACUGCCUAGGGUAAACUUGGUAACUGGGGCUAAGUCGUAACAAGGUAACC
Molecule: ribosomal RNA, 1486 nt
Filed under: uncultured bacterium
Lineage: Bacteria
Description: bacterial SSU rRNA
Rfam family: Bacterial small subunit ribosomal RNA
Source: RNAcentral